UGGAAGAUGGGUGCACCAGAAGCGCCCGGGUUUUAUUCUCGAGAGCAAUUUCGAGAGUAGAAUCCGGGCACUAAGGUGAAACCAUUGACUGGGUCG
RNAcentral lists this ribosomal RNA (96 nucleotides) under uncultured bacterium. RNAcentral describes it as "partial 16S ribosomal RNA". The record is from RNAcentral.